RNAcentral lists this transfer RNA (73 nucleotides) under Pteropus alecto (black flying fox). It matches the Rfam family "tRNA". Rfam says of the family: Transfer RNA (tRNA) molecules are approximately 80 nucleotides in length. Their secondary structure includes four short double-helical elements and three loops (D, anti-codon, and T loops). The record is from Rfam by way of RNAcentral. Lineage: Eukaryota; Metazoa; Chordata; Mammalia; Chiroptera; Pteropodidae.
GGUUCCAUAGUGUAGCAGUUAGCAUGUCUGCUUUACACACAGAAGGUCCUGGGUUCACUACCCAGUGGAGCCA